This 301-nucleotide ribosomal RNA is filed under the name uncultured bacterium. RNAcentral describes it as "partial 16S ribosomal RNA". It matches the Rfam family "Bacterial small subunit ribosomal RNA", at positions 524 to 821 of the family's 1533-position model. The record is from RNAcentral.
UACGUAGGGUCCGAGCGUUGUCCGGAGUUACUGGGCGUAAAGCGCGCGCAGGCGGCCCGCGAGGUGUCACGUGAAAGCCCCCGGGCUCAACUCGGGGAGGGUCGUGGCAAACCGGCGGCUUGAGGCCGGUAGAGGUGGGUGGGAACUCCUGGUGGAGUGGUGAAAUGCGUAGAGAUCAGGAAGAACACCCGUGGCGAAGCGGCCCACUGGGCCGGUACUGACGCUGAGGCGCGAAGGCGUGGGGAGGCGAACGGGAUUGAGAAACCCCAGUAGGUCCAGACCGAAGUACCAUCUGCUACCA